This 356-nucleotide ribosomal RNA is filed under the name uncultured bacterium. Its description in RNAcentral is "bacterial SSU rRNA". It matches the Rfam family "Bacterial small subunit ribosomal RNA", at positions 527 to 881 of the family's 1533-position model. The record is from RNAcentral.
GUAGGGGGCAAGCGUUAUCCGGAUUUACUGGGUGUAAAGGGAGCGUAGACGGCAUGGCAAGCCAGAUGUGAAAGCCCGGGGCUCAACCCCGGGACUGCAUUUGGAACUGUCAGGCUAGAGUGUCGGAGAGGAAAGCGGAAUUCCUAGUGUAGCGGUGAAAUGCGUAGAUAUUAGGAGGAACACCAGUGGCGAAGGCGGCUUUCUGGACGAUGACUGACGUUGAGGCUCGAAAGCGUGGGGAGCAAACAGGAUUAGAUACCCUGGUAGUCCACGCCGUAAACGAUGAGUGCUAGGUGUUGGAUCCUUUCCGGGAUUCAGUGCCGCAGCUAACGCAUUAAGCAUUCCACCUGGGGAGU